UACGAAGGGGGCUAGCGUUGCUCGGAAUCACUGGGCGUAAAGGGCGCGUAGGCGGCCAUUCAAGUCAGGGGUGAAAGCCUGUGGCUCAACCACAGAAUUGCCUUUGAUACUGUUUGGCUAGAGACCGGAAGAGGUAAGUGGAACUGCGAGUGUAGAGGUGAAAUUCGUAGAUAUCGAGAAGAACACCGGUGGCGAAGGCGGCCAUCUGGACGGUGACUGACGCUGAGACGCGAAAGCGUGGGGAGCAAACAGG
This 253-nucleotide ribosomal RNA is filed under the name uncultured bacterium. Its description in RNAcentral is "partial 16S ribosomal RNA". It matches the Rfam family "Bacterial small subunit ribosomal RNA", at positions 524 to 776 of the family's 1533-position model. The record is from RNAcentral.